Molecule: ribosomal RNA, 443 nt
Filed under: uncultured bacterium
Lineage: Bacteria
Description: partial 16S ribosomal RNA
Rfam family: Bacterial small subunit ribosomal RNA
Source: RNAcentral
CCUACGGGAGGCAGCAGUGGGGAAUAUUGGGCAAUGGGCGCAAGCCUGACCCAGCAACGCCGCGUGAAGGAAGAAGGCUUUCGGGUUGUAAACUUCUUUUCUCAGGGACGAAGCAAGUGACGGUACCUGCGGAAUAAGCCACGGCUAACUACGUGCCAGCAGCCGCGGUAAUCCGUAGGUGGCAAGCGUUAUCCGGAUUUACUGGGUGUAAAGGGCGUGUAGGCGGGACUGCAAGUCAGAUGUGAAAACGACGGGCUCAACCUGUGUACUGCAUUUGAAAAUGUAGUUCUUGAGUACUGGAGAGGCGGACGGAAUUCCUGGUGUAGCGGUGAAAUGCGUAGAUAUUAGGAGGAACACCAGUGGCGAAGGCGGUCUGCUGGACAGCAACUGACGCUGAGGCGCGAAAGCGUGGGGAGCAAACAGGAUUAGAUACCCCUGUAGUC